Haliotis rufescens (red abalone) is the source of this 996-nucleotide long non-coding RNA. RefSeq lists it as uncharacterized. NCBI's taxonomy places the organism in Eukaryota, Metazoa, Mollusca, Gastropoda, Lepetellida, Haliotidae. The record is from RefSeq and is a predicted model, not a curated record. The transcript is spliced from 2 exons.
CAGUCUUUGGUACCCGAGGAAGAAGACGAGAAGACAGUGCACCAGUCCUCCCCUAGAAUAGUGUUUGCCAAAGAACUUUUCCCAUGUCCAGUUUUCCCCAGGAUGCAUAAAGACUAGACAUUACUACUAGGGCAGCACCUGACAGUAAAAGUAAACCCACUUUCCCAAAGAAGUCAAGAUCUUCAAAUAUAACCAGUUAUAAAGUGAAGAAAUCACCAGACAAGUCAUUAUCGAAGAAGAAGAGGAGUGACAAAAAGUCCACACAGAAGUAUCUCACCAGCAGAGUUGCAGAUUUGAGAGACGUAAUGGCAGUCUCUCUGACAAAACAUCAAAGCUCUGUUGCCUAUUCCUAACAUCAGUCCUGCCUCGUUUCAAUGGCCAACACCGAAUUUAAGGAGGAGGAACAAGUUGCAUGGUACCCAAGAUCAGUUCGUAAGAGACCUGAUCAGCAGAUUGGUGACGAUAGAUGCAAUCAAGAAGGCUGGGAGCCUGUCCAAUGUGAAAUUGACAGAUCCUAAUAAUCAGUAAUCUAAUGACCACCUAUUCCAUAGGACCAAAGGUCAAGAAGUGUAACACAAGAACUGCAUCAAUCUCAGAGAAUUUAAACAUGAUGUCAGGAAGUACUUGGAGAAAGCAAGAGUACACGUUAGAGAAGUUCCUUCUUGGUGAUGAGGUCCUCUUCCAUGUGGCUGACAUCAGGAGAAGAACAGAGUUUGACUUAAACUCUAUUGUUUAUCUCACAAAGAGAUUUCCAUGCCUCAAGUUUGAUCUGAGUCAGCUUGAACAUCGGUUUGUGACUUUUCAGGUAACUAUGAUUAAACUUGUGAUAAGUUAGCUUGAUAAAAUUGAUGUGAUUGAGAGUGAUUAUGAUGAAAGUAAUGUGUGAUUAAUGUUCAACAAUGAGCAAGUCUUGUCCUGAAUAUAUUUCCAUAAUGUAUUAACAUUUGUGAUUCAUAUAGUUAUUAUGUACAUAUUAAAAUAAAAAAAUGCAGCAAA